This 804-nucleotide ribosomal RNA is filed under the name Triticum aestivum (bread wheat). Its description in RNAcentral is "partial small subunit ribosomal RNA". The record is from RNAcentral. Lineage: Eukaryota; Viridiplantae; Streptophyta; Magnoliopsida; Poales; Poaceae.
AUGGAGGGGGGGCCUUGGACUUUUCGAGGCAACCCUGUUCUGCUAGCCCCCUACGAUGGCUUCUCAAAGCCAUCGUCCAUUGAUCUUCACAACUUUAGAAUCUGGAUACAAAUACAUGACCUUCCUGAUGGUUAUGAGCCUUUAGUUAAAUCCCUUGCAGGCAAGGUUGGGGAAUUUUAUUCCCUUGAUAAUAGAGGCCGGGACAUAGCAAGAAAUUAUUACCGGGUUAGGAUCACACUGGAUGUCAGGAAAAAGCUCAAGAACCAUGUUUCGGUUGUAAAACGGCAGAAAAGGCAGAUCUUCAAGGUGAAAUAUGAGUGGUUACCGGAUUGGUGUGCAGUCUGUGGGAUGAUUGGACACUUAUACACAGAACAUGGUGACGGUGUUCACCAUCCAUCAACAAUGAUUUUCAGAGAACUCCGUGCUACAUGGGGUUCAGGUGGCUCAGGUGGUCGUGGGCUUGACACACGAGCACCCGCUACAGAUGGUGUGACUAUAAUCGAGGUUCAGGAAAAUAAAAGCAUGGAAAUAGACCCGAGUAAGGGAGCAGCGGUGGAGGAUGAUGCUGCAGAUUCAGAGUCUAAUAGAAAACGUGCUUUGGCUGCUCACUCAGCUCCUGAUACACCUCCUCUUGCCACAAUUUCAAAGGGUCAGUUGUUACUAACUAAUUCUGGUCAGGUUGUGUCACCUAGUCCAUCCGACGAGCAGGAUCCGAAGCGAACGAGAACUGAGCAGAGCACACUCAAUACAAAAUACUUGACAACAACGGCGGGUUCCAAUCAGGAACGCCGCCAGGACAAAUGA